GUUUCUCCCGAGUUAGCGGCGUUCCAGAGGGACGCGGCCGGCCGCCGUUUCAUUGUUUCCCAACUGGUCCGACCCCGUACCGGCGCAGCCCCGCCGCGCUCCGGGCGGAGGAAGCGCGGCCGCGGAGCGCCGGGCCGAGGCGGGAGCGCCGCUCGGUAGCGGCGGGGAGCCCCGCCGACCCCUCCCCGGCCCGACCCUCCCCGCCGCCCCCGUUCGGCCGCCGAGGGGCCGUUCCGUCCCGUCUCCGCCACAGAAGCCGCGCCGUCCAACUUUUUCCCUCCCCCUUGGAAGCGCACUUCCUUUGAACGCGCUCCGUCUGCGAACAAAGGCGGCCCGGCCCGGCGCGGCCCCUCCGCACCGCCCGGCACGGCCGCCCCGCGGGUCGCGCUCCGCGCCGCUCCUACCGGGAGCGACUUUUCCGGGCACGGCCUCCUCGGCGCUGCCGCGACCGCGACUCCGUCUUUUUUGGAUACGACGUUUCUGCUGACUCCCGAAAAUUUUCCACUCGAACGUGCGACGAAGCGGCGGCGGCGGCGGCUCUGGAGAAGGAGACGCGGCGGGGAGAGCGGCAUCGCUGCCUCCAUCCCCUGAGGGGCUGCGCGCGGCCGGGGGCUGCACAGCGCGAGCCGCCAACUUCCCGCGGCGGGGUGCCGCAGUGAGGGUCUGCAACGCCCACGAGAGCUGCCCGUGCUUUGGGCCCUGGUAGGAGCGCAGCUUCCACCAACCCACCCCAGGUGAGGCACAAAGUGCUGCCGCACGGCCGGGCCCCUGCCAGGCCCUGGAGCUUCAACCCGUGCCUUAAGGGUCUCCCGUAUCGCCAGGGCCAGGCAGAGCUCCGCUGCUCAAAGGGGCAGGGCGGGAAGGCUUCGUGCACAUCCCGGCCUCAAUCGCUCCAGACGCAGAGAGGCCGCCGGUCGCAACCCCCUCCCCCAGCCCCGGGCGCCAGGUGCUGUGCUCAACCUUCUGCACCGCUCCAGCUGUGAGCCUAACUGCCGUGAGCCUGUCCGUACGCUUCCCACGUCGGCACCAGCCAUGCCCCAGAACUGCUCCCGAGCAUUAUUACAAGGCACGUCCCCUCCUGAUAACAAUCUGAUAACCUUAUGGAAAUAAUCACUGUGCUGGCACAGCUGUCGUGCCUGGGAAAACUCGUAUUUGCAUAAGCAAAAGGGAUAACUGGACACCUCCGUGCCUGUUUGUCAAAUAAAUUGCCGAUUUCGAUGUGCAAACAUACAUUUCUAUCGUUUCUAUCCACGUUGGAAAGUUUGCCCAGCAGGAAAACCACUCGUCGAGGUGGCAGGAAAACCACGCACGGCCACAGCAGCACCACGUGUGGGUGCCGUCGGGCAGCAAUAACACGCUCACGCCACAGGUGGGCCUCACAGCACGCCCUGGCAGGGGGCUGGCAGAGCUCACGGCACAUGCACUGCCUGCUGCUUGUGUGUGAUACCGCGAAAAGAUGCCCACCGCGCCUGCAAACAGCACAGACGCGCCUGCUCCGUGCCCCACCAGCAGCCGUCCCAUAGGGCAGCCGUGCUGGUAGCAGCCACCAUGUCAGCCCAUGAUUGAUCCAAGACAGACUCUUGAAAAUGAGCCACUGGCAUUGCAGCUCACAGAGAGGCUGCAGUGCUUUUAUUUUUUUACCUUUGUGCACCGGGAACAGCGCGCACUAUGGGCCGUGCGGGAAGUUGCAGUGUUCCCACUGAUGGCACUAAUGCUACCCUAUGGAAAUCUCCUUAAACCCAGCCCUAUAGGAACGGUGCACAACAAGGAAUAAUACCAAACAAAGCCGAAGUUUGGGCAGGUGUUGGCCAAAGGACUGGGAGAACGGAAGAAAGGACCUGGUUUAGGCUGGUUUUUUUCCCCUGCCAUUCCAUGGUGGCUGAAAAGCCAACUACGAGAAACCCCCUCAUCCACACAUAGAGAUGUUUUCUUCCUCUUUUUCCCUCCUCCUUUCCAUACGGCUCUAAUGCUGUUGCCUGGUAAGUGCCUCAGUGCCUCCACAACUUGUAGUUCAACCGCUGCGCAUACGUCCAUAGGAAAGCCACAGUCUCCUGAGUGUACCCAAACCAUACCAACUCUGUUCCAAAGCCGGAGCGGACAAACAAGACAAAACAUGGCUCCUUCUGAACACCACAGAUUGCUUACUGCACGUCAGCAGACUUAAACUAGAGAUAAAACUCAGCCCGCUGCGUUCACUGCGUGCACAGAAACGUGGAAGCACAUUACAGGAACAGGACAUUUUUUCCACAAGGCCUGUAGCCACAGUGCCAACAGUACUGCCUCCACCUCCUGUGCCUGUGCAGAACCCACCAGCUAUCACAGCUCUGCACACAGCAAGGGAGAAUGGCAGCUUUGGGGGAUAAUAGACAAAUAGAGCUUGAAAACGUCCUACCUUUAGCAGCUCUUGCAACGGAUGAACUUUUGCUCGAUUAUGCUCUCCUAGUGGAAAAUAAAAAUACAGUUUGUUUCUACGCCCAUGGUUGUGGAUAAACGUGAGCAGAGCUUAGCCCAGUUGUAGCUGCCCAUAUCUGCAGAUCAACAGCUCUGUAACUCUUUUGCCUUUCGGACCUCUUUCAAGAGGGAUAAUUAAGCUUGCCUGCUGCCCUGCGCAUUUUGUUGUUAGCUGUGAGCAGCCGGGACAGCUCACAGAACUCUGAUUAGUUCUGACUCAAACUCUGCACACAGGUGUUCUCAUAGGCAGAGAGGUGCUCGGGGAAGACUGAAGGUCACCCAUUCACACAGUGUAAAAGUUCAUCCGCAGUUCCCACGUGAAGGCAGAAGUCCUUGCCCUGACAGGCAACCGUACCAUUAAACUGCAAAACCCGAGGCCAAGACGGACAGCAAAGCAACGUGGGGACUAAAUCAUGGCAUUGGCUGAGCGUAAGCCUGGAGGCCACGAGCCCCAGAAAUAAACAACAGCUUCUGAGAACUGAGGCAGGGAAACUCUGACAAGCAUCUGUCUUUCUUGCAAGAGGCUCAUAUAUCCUGUGGGCUGUCAUUUCACGUCGUAUCAUACCAUAGCAGAACAACAGUCGCUUUGAAACGUACAUACCUGGAAUCCCAGCACAUUUCCAGCAGAAGAAAGUCACGUACUGCGGAGACAGAGGGCUGCGUGCUCUGACAGAAGGUGAGGAGCGAGGAGGGACGGGUCGGUGUCCUGCAGCCCCUGCCUUCGUGCCAGCAAGGGCUUCUUCAGAGGCUCUGUGGGUGAAGAAGAGGGGAUACUGGAGGCAGGUCCGCACGCAGAGCUCACUCUGAUGAGCUGCCUGCCUCUGUGCGUUGAUGAAUGGCUUCUUCAGGCACACAGGUGCGCUGGGAAUUACAAAAGCUGAAGAAAACAAAGGGACGUAGGGACAUGCCUGAACAGGGACAUUUCCUGGGGACAAAUGCUUAUCUCGGCUAGCAAAGAGAAUUACAAGCGUGGAAUACGGGAACCUAGAUUAAGACAGAGAAAGAACGAGCUCAAGAGGACACCAAUACAAAGGCUUCGAGGAAGGAGUCUGGGGAAAGAGAAGAGACAGUAAAGAGAAAGGAGAGGGAGGGAAAUAUUUGUACCUAUCGAAGGAAGGCAGGAAGAAUAAAAAGAAAGUGAAAAUAAAAGGGAUAUUAAUGGAGAAACAUGAAAAAAGGAAUAAACAGGAAAGCCCUGGGAGGGGAGGGGGAGUCUGUAGUCUGGGAGAAGAAAGUAGGAAACAGCGGCGAUCGGAGGAGAUGGCAGCAAGGAAAUGGGAGCGGCGUACAAAUGGAAGGAGUAAGGUAAGGAACGGUAGAAAAUGUGUGAUUCGAGAAUGAAAGUCUGCAGUGCCACCAAGGUUUGGAUUUGUCAGUAAGAAGUUUGAGCGCAAGUCCUGCUAAGAGCUGGGAGGAGACAAGUGUGGAUGUAUUUACAGAUGAGACGGAGGCUGGAUUGAGCCCUGCAUGUGGGAACCGCCGCUGUCUUCACCAAGACCAGCGAUAGCAGGGGGAAUUUGGGAGCCCAGCAGCAGAGCAGUGGUUCCCUUCAGUCUUUGCUAUUAGUUGUGACAGGUACAGAGCACGUAACUCACCAGUCCCAUCCCAGCCACGCUGACAGAUGAUGCUUCUAAGUCUCCAAGAGAUGAAAUGGUACCCAAGGGCAUGCAGUUAACACAACAGUUCACCUAUCCCUCGAGUGGUAUGUUGGCAGGUGAAAACAAGAUGGACUUCACAAAAAUGAGAUCCAGAGGCCAUUUUGGACUUGGACCAAACGUCCAAGUUUGACAAUGCUCGGAUACAGUAUUUUGGCUACAAGCACUGAAAUAAUUUUAAAACUUUGUGCUUGGGUUGCAGUUCAGGCUAGGAAAACUGCUAAGCUCAGGAAAUACUUAAAAGCAGCACGUAGAUUUGGGUUAAUCUAUAGCAUGUAAGGAAUUAAAUACCCAAAUCAAUGUGUUGUUGAACGUGCCAAGAAAAAUACUAUGGGGAAGCUGUAAUGUAAUGGAACAGAGCUCUCCAUAUUAUAAAUCUGGCUGCUGGGCUUUGUAAAGCACCAGACAGUGUAAAGAAUGAAAACAAAUAACAGUUUAAUAAUGAAUUACAAUAAUUGUGUCGAGAGGAAGCCCUGACACAGACCAUAGCCUCAGAGCCCAGCUGAGUUAAAAUAGUACAGAGAGUGGAAAUAUAUAAUUUCAGACCGUUCUGGUUGCUUAUUUCUAAAGCUAAACGGAGAGCUUUUUAAAAUUACACGACCAGGGUCCGGGGCUGUGUAUUUCUCCUGUUGAUGAAAUCACUACUAUCAAAAUGGUGCGGCUCUUGUCCUGCUUCACAGCAAACAAUGUAAGCACAGCAGCCCAUUCCUUCCACCGAUAGCAAUAAUUCUUUGCACCGCUGAUUGAAACAAAUUACCCUGAAAACCACUUGGGUGGCUGGGCUUUUACAAAUAUUUUGUGCUACAAAUUUCGUAGUGUUGCAGUCAUUUCCUGAUGCAGGAAAAAAAAAAAAAAAGAAAAGAAAAGAAAAAGAGAGAAAAAAAUCCUAUUCAGAUUCCCACAGAAUCGCGUUUCUGUCAUUCAUCAAAAUCACUUCCCAGCCUGCUUCAUCUGUAGAUGGCCUAUUUGAUUCUCUCUCUUCACUUUGGCCCAGACUUCUGGUGGUAUUUGGAUGCUUGAGGAUAGGCGGAGGUGUUUUUAAUCCUCCAUAGCACCUAGGUGUCUUAUUCUCCUUGAUUUCAAUACUUUUAGGUUCUGGGAAAUCUCAAUACCUAUCUAGGCAACUCAAAUGAUACUUGUAAUAGCAAUAACAAUAAUGUAAUAAUAAUAAUAAAGGCACCGUGACAUCCACCUAUGUACUUUUAGAGGUUUCCUUUGGAUGAUUCUCAAAAUCCACACAUAAAAGCACCAUCUGCCCUGAGAUCUGUCCUGCAAGGCCAUUCACAGGUACUCAUCUGACCCAAAUGAGUCCACAGGUGAUUUCUUCAGAGAGGCAGGAGCCAGAUUUCCUUUUCUCCAAAAGGAAUUACUUCUAAGCACGACUCCUGCAGUCAGUGAGGACGCACCAGCACAGUUCCUGAUGGCAGUAUGUCACAGCACACCCCACAGCAGCCCUCCUGCCCCUGCCUGGGGGCUGUAGAGUGCCCAUUCGUGGGCAGCCCAUGCCUUUGACCCCUGUGAUGAGGCUGCUUCCAAGUUAGCCCACGGACACUUUGCCAUCACCACAGAGCGUCCCACAGCUCAGCUCCUGUAGCCACUGCCUGGGCAUUGUUUGUGCAGGAAGAAGCAUGUUGUGUGAUGGUAAGGAUAUUAAACAACCUGACAGCCAAAUUUCAAAGAGCGGCAGCAAAGACAGCAGUCAUUAAUACCACCCUAGAACAAGAAUUGGAAGAAAUUUCACUACGUAAAGGGCCAGGUGGCUUCACCAGCUCCUUCUGCAAUGAGACAAAUUUCACUUCCACCAUCAACUUUGCUAAGACUGCAGAAAGCAUAGCUCAGUGCAGCACCUGGAGUCAUCUAUUUGUAACCAAGGCUGGGUGUGAGCGAGUGCUCAGGUGACACAGAGCUGCUGAUGGAGGUGAGCGGUGCUUCCCAUCAACCCCUCAGCCCCAGGGUGGAAGUGCAAAGGCUCCUUGCCUGUCACAGCAGGGCAGCGUGCCUCAGCCCAUCACGUGCUAAGCUACCAAAACCACUGAACCAAGACUGACAGUGUCUAAGGUGAAAAAAAGACUGCCAGAGAAUUUAAUGCUCCUUAUACAUACAGAAUCCAAAGUAUCACUGGAAGUCCUGACAGAUACAAAACCAAAUCUGACCUGAAGCGGGAGGGCUACCCAGUAUAUGAGUGAGGGAGGCAGGUCAGAUGGCACACCAAAUGCCCAGUCAGAACACAGUUACCCUUAUUUUACACUUAUUUGUCCGUUUCUCCAGAAUGCAGGUAGAAUCACACAUGGUAAACGAAACUGGGAGAAAACUGAAGUGAGGAAGUCUGAGCUCAAGAGAGGCGCUAAGGGUGGUGCUGCCAAAAGUCACGCUCUCUUCCAUGUCACCUGCCUGCAAAAGGUACCCAUUGCCUCCUUGUUUCAUCAGUGCGUAUUCUUCUGGUAUAACACAGAACCUCGUUCCAGGCACCUGCAAAGUUCAGGCACUGUUCAGGACAGAACUGGGAAGCUGAGAGAGCUCUGUACUGUUCCAGACACGAUGAAAACCUGGCAGGAUUCGGCCUUCCUACUUUUGGCGGGGAGAGGGAGCGUGAGAGGGGAGGUGGAGGAAAGGGACUCUUGAAAAAUAUAUUUGUGUUUCCUGUUAAACUCGACUAUUUGGGUGUUCAAAUGAGUAUAACAGGAAAUCUAAAGAGAGGUAAUGCAUUCCUUGUUGCAACUGAUGCUUGAAGGCCAGGUCUACGUGGCUUUUCGGUAGGAAUUUUACGAAGAGUAAUUUGUAGUUGGUCAGGUAAUGAAAGAAGUAAAAAUUACCUAAAACUGCUGGGAAAUCACAAAUGGUGUAUGGGUACAUAGUUAGAUGAGAGCUACUGAACUGAGUUUCUGGAAUCGUCAUUACCCAAUUUGUAGCAGUAAAUAUCACCAUGUAAAUCCCAACCUUUCCUCAUCCUUCCCAGGGGGAACCAUGAAUACUUCUUAUCUGGCCCAUAUUUAGGAAGACAGUCUUAGAAAACAGAAGAAGGAAAAGUCAUCUGGCAGUGUAGGAGCCACAGAGGCUAGCUGGUGUUCUAGUCUGAUCACAAUUGCAACCCCAUUGGUAAUUUCAGUAUAGGGCAAUAUUUCCUCUCACUGCUUUUCCUCUGCCACGUUUCGGUAACAACAAGCAGUAAUUGAGCUCACAGGGUUAGCUACUUGAUAUUAAAACAACUCUGUAAAGUUUCACACUGUCAAAAUUCAGAAUUUUGCAGCUUUGCAAGGCCCAGUGGAUGGCCUGGCCGCUGUGAACCUUAAUCCAGAUUGCAAAUGCUCUCUUUGUUCUGGCUUUUCCGCUCCUACACCCAUAACACGUUACAUCCCACAGACAGCCAGUCAGCAAGCAUUGCUUCCAGCGUUGGAAAUGGUCUGUGGAAACGGGGGACCACCUCAACGAGGCAUCCUGCAGGAAGAGAAACACCUCCCAAAGGUGAGGGAAGAAAAUGCACUAGCAGAAGCCACACAACACAGGGGCAAAGCCCUCUGCCCAUGCUAGGCGUCACUGCCAAACAGAGCUCCUACAGAGCUCCUCAGUUGGUCACUAAGUAGCUGGGGAUAAGUGCAUCAAACUGAGAUGCUGUAAUGGGCAAAUGCUUAUACACAGAGAAUCUUAACCUCAUUUCACAUGUGACUUCAUCUUAGGUGACUUCACAAAUGCAAUUACUCUGCCACCUGCACAGCUCUGUAUGUUUUAUGUGCUCCUUUUACCCUCUAAAGCCUGAAAAACUAGUUAAUUUAUUAUUUUUCAUGAUCAGUCCCAGAUGGAUGAUGUCUGUCAGCAUUUACUGAUUUACAUAACAUUUAUCAUGUUCAAAGCUCUUUAUAAACACUAAGCAGUUGAUCUUCACACCACCCCUGUGCCCCAAGCAUUAGUACUUCCUUUUUACUGCCUGGAAAUUGUUAUGGAAAGUCAAAGCAAUCCUCACAGUAGUUAAGGUAACACCAGAACUCAGUACCUCCUCCAGCACAUCACACUUUCCUAAUUCAAACACAUCUACCACACCACCCUGCAAUAUUUCUUUUAUUUUUUAUUUUUUCCUUUCUGAUUUACCUAUAAAAAUCCCCUGCCCCACUCUGUCAGCUUUGCCUACUUUUUGGUCUCCAGUCCAGCUUAAGAGUCCAGUUCCCAAGGGGCUCACAAGUCAACUUCCAAAACGCUCCAAAAACAAAUCGGUACCACUUCUGUACGCUAAAAGACAUUGUAUCCCCCAGUGCCCAUCAAAUACAACUAAUGGCUUAAAAAAAAAAAAGACAUCUUUUUAAUUUAUUCUUUUAACGUGAGGUCCUCUAAAUUCCUUGUGAGUGCAGAACUGAGGUUCACUUAAAAUCAGGCCACAGCUGAGCUUUGGCAGAUUUUUAUUGUAAGCAAUUAAAUGGCUUAUAAACUAGAGGUAUUUCAGAACCAGCAUCGAUAACCAUUGGGAAGAAGUGAAACUCAGACUAGCUGCGUUCUUAGCUGCAGUGGAGCAUUCAGCAAUGUCAAACACCUUCCAAGCACAUACAAAGGGAAGUAGUUUGAUUUGUUAACAAUGAUGGCCUCACAUACAUAACUAUGGGCAAUGGAGGGUUUGAGUCACUUCUAGCUGCCAAAGGCAAGUGAGUAAGAAGAACUAGGUAGCAGUUAGACAAAAUUAGAAGCCUGCAACCCCUUCCUUGGGCAGUGUUUUUUCAUUCAACCUUGUCUAUAUUAGAGAAGAGCAGUGGUACGUGGCUUAAACUCUACUGGUACACCACCACCUUCCAGCCCCUCAGCACACAAAGGCUCUGUGAGCCUUCCUCUCAUUUGGGUCAUAACAUCAAUGCAAAAAACAAGACCACAAGAACUUAUCUUUACCUUUCUCCUCUUUAAAAACACUUCUCCCGUGGUGGUUUAACUGGCCUUAGUUCUAAUACUCCCUAGACUAAAUCCCCCCCCAACAUUCAGUGCAGCAAUUCGUAACUUACAGGUUUGCCUUCACACUCAGUGCAAGGAACAGCACGAAGGAAAAGGCAGGUACAUGAGAAUAAGAUAAACCACUGGUAAACUGGAGGAACUGGAACAAGCUAAAAGUGAAAUCUUUAGGAAAGCAAUUAGAGAUCUGCCACGUCAGCAUGAAGACACCUUGUUUGGCUCACCAGGAAGUGUAAUUUAGACCCUGGUUACCUCUGCUGAGGGUACAUCUGCUAAUGUUCUUCAGAAUUGCAGCAGGCCUCCCUGCUUUACAGCAACUAAAGAAAGGAGGAGGCACUGCUGCUAACUGCCUUUCCCUGGUAGCCAAGUAUAUAAGCUUCAGUGCCUCCAAUCAAGGCUGAUGAAAUCUGUCCUUCUCUGAAACGAGUGCAUUCCUCCAAGCCCCAUGGAGAAAGCAGUGGCGAGCAGAAGUGGGUUCUCCCUCCUUGCAGAAGAAAACAGCGAGUCGGUUCCAGCUUUUCUGAGCAAACCAUUGGUGGAUGCUGCUGCCAAAACUGGGAACUGAAAUGGCACACAGCCUGCCCUUCCCGCGGGACCAGGAGGAGCGUGGUCAUCAGUACAACUUUUCAAACAGAAGAGGGAGAUCCAUCAAUUUUGUGGUUGCAGCGUGUCCCAGGCAAAAUUUCGUUAUUGGUUUCAUCUGGAUUAGAAUUAACCGUUAAGGCUUCUCUACCUUACACUUCCUGAUCAUUUCUGCUCCCUUUUGCAAUAAAACAGAGCAAGGUUGUAAAUGGGCUGGAGGGAAUGGGGAAUACCCAAAGCCAGUUGGUAGGACCACCUGCUCAGGAGAGGAACUGACUUGAUAUUUGGUAUCACUAGGCUAGGCACCUUCCUUCUGACCAUGCGCUAUAGCAAAAUGGCAGGGAAUAUAAACUCGUGUGGCAUCAAAUUGUUUCAUCAACAUACAAAUAUUAACACCCACAUGUGUAUGAGGCAUUGCCCAUACCUUUGGGGUCUGUUUCCUCUAGGCGACUGUUGGCUAACCUGUAGGCGUCUCAGGGCUUCAUGCCAGUGGAAAAGAAUACAUACAAAAUGUUUCUUUAAGGCAUGGGUUUGUUCAGCUACCCACGUUUGAAGGGAAUGAGAGAAUACGAAUUAGGCAUCUAGGCUGCAGUGCUGAGAAGGGUGUUUUACUCCUGCCCAUGUAGCUUUUGGUCUCCAAAACCAUAAAAGAAGCCAUUAUAACGUGACAAAGGAAUGACUGGGUGGCAAGUGUUGUGCCUCAACGAUACCACUAUUAACAACUGAUAUCUUAUUGGUGAGGAGAGUUAAGCUAUUAACGGCUAAUUUACGCCUCUUUCUUCACUGUGUGACUCAAACCAGUUCUGCAGUCUGUUACAGGUUAACUAGCCAGGGUUAGGCAGGGCGGGGCCUGGAGCAGAUUGCAAAACUGGUUUAUUCAACUUGCAGAGUGAGGAAACAUCCUUAAAAAUAGCCAUUCUAGAGGAAGACAAGAUGCCUUCCUGUCAAUUUUUGGCACAUCGCGUAACAAAACAGAUCUUUAGGCCCCCUCAGCUUUUGUUACUGCACUGAGACACCGUGUGCGGGUCACACACAGACAGAAGCCACCCAGUAUUGUGCCACAGCUGAGCAGCGUGCCUUUAAUUUAGCCCGGGGCUAUGCUCAGAGGCACACCCUCACCUGCAGCCUCUCUCCUCAGCAAGUGUGUGCCAAGUGCAGCUGGUUAAUAGAUCACAGAUCAGAGCGACCAGCUGCUUCAAGCAUAUGGGGCGAUGGAGGAGGGGAGGCUACAAGGCCCUUCUGUGAACGUGUGAAAUGCAGGCCUGGAGGUCAACAGGUGAUUUCAAGUAAGGGAAGAGGUAGAAGAUGUCUGUACUGAGUACAGUAAAAGAGAAAGGGAGUGCAGUCUGCUCUCUCCAGCAGUUUUGUUCCUCCUGAGGGAGCAGGGUGAAAUGCAGGCGCUGAGAGCUUCCCUUGUGAGGUGGGCCUUGUGCAGCUUCACCUGGGCACGGGCGGUACCACGUGAGGCAGUGGCACAGGUGUAUCUGAAACCUCCUCCGAGGUUAAGCUGAGGAAGAUGGAGUACGGAAAGCAUUGGAAUAAACGAUUAAGUUCUAUUAAAAGCCUAUUGUGUACGUGCUAAAAUGCGACUGAUGGUUUCAGAAUCUCUUGCGCUCUCUUGUCAUCAAUGCACAAUUCUUUCUGAUUGCUUCCAGACAAUUCAGAUCUCGGCACUGAGCAAAAAUAUCAGAGAGGGAUGGAAUAUACGAUCUACUUUUCUUUAUGCAGUCUUUAUCAUCGUCAUUGUCCUUGGGAAUUUUCCCAGUUCUACAGUGACAGGAAGAUCAUCAGAAACUGAGAGCCUCACUUCAACUCACAUUAGUGGGCCCUUCAUGUUGUUCUGGCAAUACAAAAAGGCCUUCAAGUCAAACCUAAUUUGAAUCCCGCUUUAGCAAUCCUUUAUGUUGUCAUAGCAGUGUAAAUUUGUCCCUACGUAAAUGUAAUGCAGCCACAUUCUGAAUCUCUGCACUGUUACGUGGCAUUAGAAUGGCGAGACACCCAAGCUGACUAAAGGGAGACUGAGGAGCUUCCUGCACAGGAAGGUGUUGAGAAGUUGAGGCCAGCAUAUGGCAGGGUGGUCUGGGAGGAUUUGAUCCUGCCCCAGUGCAGGGUUAGACUGAGAGAUCUUAUGAGAUCCUUCGCACUUCUGCAGUUAAAAGGGGUUAUGUUUCCUCAAGAGACAAUUUAUUUGUGUCAGCCUGCAUAGUCCAGUCUUAUCCUCAGAUCACUGUUCCAUACUUUUGCAAAGGUUAUCAGUUUACCUACUGUAGUAGUGAAAAUUAAAAAAAACCACAUUCCUGAAAUUGACCCCUUUUCCAACAACAUAUUGAAGAAAAGCAAACAGAAGUAAAUUAUCUGUGGUAUCUCUAAGUUUGCAUCUUUUACAUUUGCUACAGCAUGAACAUGCGUUCCCACUUUGCUCUCCUAAGCUGAAUGGUGAACUAUGAUUCGCUUUCCAUCUUUACAUUCUCCCAAACUGUUUCAUGUCCUGAUUCCCUAGAAGGAAAGCUGGGUUUUUUGUUUGUUGUUUUUGUUUUCCCCUCAAAGACAUUGAUUUUAAAAUGAAGCUGCUGCCUUUGUUUCUGAGCACAGUAGACCCUAUUUGUUUUGCAGCAACAACUGUGGGGAAGGGACCUUCACGAGUCCUCCGCUGAAUCUCCAGAUUUAACAGCUACAGCAUCUAAAACCAAAAGCAAAGUUUCCAUCAAGUGUUCAUCCACAGCCCUCCUGUCCCUUCUCCGUGGAAGUGGACUGUUUCAAACCCGAGUUUUUUAAAUGUCAUGAUGCUGCCUUAGAGAAGAGGCAUUGGAACACUCGCACUGGUGGUACUCAAACAAGCUGUCCUCCCCUGCAGGCUCAGUUACCUCUACAGGCCGGUGUAGCCCUGCUCCCGGUUUUCAGUGAUUAAAAAAGACAUUUCAUUUUGCGUGUGCAUUACUGUCAGCUUUUUGCAGUGCCACAUUUGUGACAGAGGCAACAGCCCCAAAGGAGCUGGACUUGAGCUAGCAUUUCCCUUUGGUAGAGUCAAUGAAGCAGCCGUCGGUCAGAGCUGCGGUCUGGGUGAGUAGUAUAACGAGGGCUGCAGUCCAUAAUUUUGCACUGCGUAUUUCCUCCCUAUGGAGUUGCAUGGCUGGUUUAUUGAAAUCACACACAAAGAGGUCUUAGUGCACUUCUUAGCAGAUUCUAUCAGAAAAAAAAAAAAAAAAAAGAAAGAAAGAAAAAAACUCAGCCUAAUUGUGAAAUAUGCUAGUGGGACCUGCAGAAACCUGGGCUAUACUCCUGGCUUCUGUGACCAUUUGGAGAACUGGCUUGAAAAAAGUCUUUUAACCCUUCUGUGUUUCAAUUUCUCUCACCUGUAGAAGAGAGAUGCACACCCUCCAUGCUAAUGCUUUAUGCUGGUGUGUGCUGAGCACAUUCUGGGAGCAAGGCUAGGCAGGCCUGUCCUGCUGCUGACCUCCAACACCUGCUCUGGAGGAGCUUCAGCUCCUGUGGCGGCCAACACAGGACCUUUCCCAGCACUCUAUUCACUAAACAAACACGUCUUUUUAUUAUGAUGUUGUUAUUGCGGUUAGUUGACAGAAACCCCAUAAAACUUGAUGUAAAAAUAAUGAAAGCAUUUAAUAUUACAAAAAAAAAAAAAAUGUUGAUACUAAGCACCAAGUUGGCAUGACUAACAUCGUAACAUCGAACACAGCAAAUCUACCAACGCUCCUUCUGCUCACCGAGAGGCUUAGGCCACUGUGGACAGACUCCGUGGGUCCGGACAUCCUCUCGCCACACGCCUCCCUCAGCAGGGCCCUUCUGCUGUUGCUGAAACUACUUCACAAGCUUUAAGCAUGGCUCUGGGCUGUGCUGCUCAACCCUAAUCCAGAAGUCGCAUUCGUUGCGGCAAAGGACUCUUUCCUUCCUGCCACUGCUUCGUGCUCUGGAUCACAAGAAAACCCUUCCGUCCCCACCCUCUGCCCUCAUAAUGGCUGCAUCUCUUUGUUUGACACGAGCCAUUCUGCAAGCUGAACUUCUCAUUUUUAAAAUGCUGCUCUGCAGGCCGGUCAUUAGAGUUGGUCUGCACUUACUCCCUACCUUGGGUUGAUCUUUCAUAACGUGUUAAACACUUUUUGAAAGUUUGGCAUUUCUGUGGGGGAAAUACAAAUUUGCAUUUGAGAUACUUUAAAAUAAAUAUUUAGGAAAAAUAUAAACGUUAGCAAAGUUUUGUUUAUCUUAGUUUUUAUGGCUCCACUGAAUGUCAGAACAGCUGUAUUGACUGCAUAAAAUAUAUUUUCUGGAGUUAGAAAUAUAUAGCCAUCUGUUCAGCUCGUAACAUGUGUUAAUAGGUAUCUCAAAUUUCAAUUCAAGAAAUAGCAAUCUUAAUAAAUAACGUAACAGCAGGAAACCUGGGUUAACUAACAGGGACCUGGCCGUAAUGGUGCUACAUCUGUGUGAGUUAGUCAUUACAGAAAUAUUCAGGUACAAAGUUCUCGGUUUAAGUGGGACCUUUAGCUAAGAAGCAUUUGUCUCGAACUGUCAGGAAAUGCAGUUUUCUAUGACAAAGACAUUCCCAAAGAUUUCCACCUGGCACUGACACCUGGAGACAUUUUACAGAAAUGAGAGUUCUUUACUAACCACGUGCACACCCAGACCUCAUGGAUUUCUCCUAUGGGCUUGGUGUGCCAGAGGUGACCCUUGCAGAUAAGUUCAGACCAGCCUGGCUUUGAAGUUCAAGCCACUACCUCUAGAGAAGGAAAACCAUCCACGCAAAAUGCCUGAGUUAAGAUCACCAUUAAAUUACUCUCCAGUUGUACAGCCCUUGUAGGACAAUAACCUAUUUAAGUGGUCUCACUGCAGGAUAAUGGUCAGCUCUGAAUUUAACCUGAAAGGUGAGCUACUACUGGACAACAGUGCCCUAUUAUGCUUAUGCAGAAAGUAAAGCGAAUUACAAAAUAAAGUAUGAUCUUUACAUUUCCUUUCUGCUCCAAAAGGCUCUUCUAUUUAUUCAUUUAUUUCUCCUGCACAGUAAUUAACAGUGUGAAGGCCUGUAACUCCGGGUCUUUGGUUGCCAAGAUGAAAAUGUCACUUUCAAGCAGAUGGUACUGCUGAUGCGGAAGGUUACAGACUUGGAAAUUUAUUUAAGCAACCCAAAACAAAAUCAAGGGAUUGACAGAAAUAUUACCUUUGAUUAUUCAAAAGAGAGAUGAAGAAACAAGACCAAAAAAAAAAAAGAGAAAAAAAAGGAAAACCUGUUUUUCCUUUGAUUAUCUAUAGAAAAUGCAUUCACAAGAACUAGAGGGAAACAUAAUCUACUAAAUGAAAUCAUGGCUUGGAACUGUACAGAUGAGGAUCUUAUCUGAGUGUGGGAAACCACCGAAGACAUAGCACUGCCAUAAUUAAUGGUCUUUGUGUCAUUUUCCAGUGCAGGGACACGUUCCACUCCGCCACCAACUAAGUGGAUGCUGGAGGGAGCUAAGUCAGCCCCAGCUGAACCCCUGGUUUGACUCUGCAUAUUAAGACUAGGAAGCACAGACACCUCUUGACAACUUUCUUUCCCCAUCUCCAGCUAUCUUCCAGUUACAGGGACAGACGUUACACUAGAGAAACUGUAAGACAAGUUUCACAUCUCUCUCUCUAUAGAUAUACAAUGCUAUAUAAACAACGGAGAAGUUACAAGAAUAUGACUUUAUGAUUUCAUAAAGUACUAAUUAGUGGGUAAUGGAGAAUUAUACAAUUUACAAACGAGCAGUCAAUUGCUAUGCCAAACAACUGGCAUCAGAAACUGUAGUCAUAAAUGUUCUGGGUAAGAGCACACUUCAUAGGACCCUUUCACAGGCUGUGCAGUCUCUGUCACGGGAACAAUUCAGUGCUUACUUUGUUGUGCUAAAUACAGAAGGGCCUGGAAGAUCGGCGAUCUCUAUUCACUUCUGUGACAUAAGGUUCCAUCCAGCCUUUGCUAUUCAUUAAUCACUUCCGUCCCUUAAAUUUUUGGCUCUUAUGGCUGUGGGCAAAAUGCAAUUCUAACAUGUUUUGAAACAGCAAGGUCUUCCUGAACCGUGGAGAGCCUGGUGAGGUGUUUGUGAGUAUGGACUGACCUACUCAUACUAAUCAGUACUUUCACUGGUCUCGCAGUCAUGGAACCGAUCAUUUUUAAACAACACACUGGAGUUCAUUGAAUUUUUCACAUGGGCUUUGCCACAGACAGAGGAUAUUUUACUUUGUCUCUGUACUCUGCUGGAAUCUCUCAGCAGCUGUUUCUGUCCCAGCGCCCUUUCCUGCAAGCAGGAAAUCUGGGAUUACGGAACACCACUCCCACUCUCUCUGUUCAGUCAGGCAGCUGCAUAACACACCUCUGGCUCAGCCCCUGCUGGUGUGGCCAUGCUGAAGUCACACCAGUAAUCUGGAACCCACACCAAAGUUACAUCCCCCGGCACACACACUUUGCCUCUGUUUCCCUAAGCUUGUUUAU
Molecule: long non-coding RNA, 16065 nt
Filed under: Gallus gallus (chicken)
Lineage: Eukaryota; Metazoa; Chordata; Aves; Galliformes; Phasianidae
Source: RNAcentral